Molecule: ribosomal RNA, 921 nt
Filed under: uncultured Ascomycota
Lineage: Eukaryota; Fungi; Ascomycota
Description: eukaryotic LSU rRNA
Rfam family: Eukaryotic large subunit ribosomal RNA (bases 277-921)
Source: RNAcentral
AUCGAUGAAGAACGCAGCGAAAUGCGAUAAGUAAUGUGAAUUGCAGAAUUCAGUGAAUCAUCGAAUCUUUGAACGCACAUUGCGCCCUCUGGUAUUCCGGAGGGCAUGCCUGUUCGAGCGUCAUUACAACCCUCAAGCUCUGCUUGGUAUUGGGCUCUGCCAGUCCUGGCAGGCCUCAAAGUCAGUGGCGGUGCCAUCCGGCUCCAAGCGUAGUAACUCUUCUCGCUUCGGAGGCCGCGGUGCGUGCUAGCCAGCAACCCCCAAUUUUUUUCAGGUUGACCUCGGAUCAGGUAGGGAUACCCGCUGAACUUAAGCAUAUCAAUAAGCGGAGGAAAAGAAACCAACAGGGAUUGCCUCAGUAACGGCGAGUGAAGCGGCAACAGCUCAAAUUUGAAAUCUGGCCUCGCGGCCCGAGUUGUAAUUUGUAGAGGAUGCUUCGAGCAUGGUCUGGCCUAAGUUCCUUGGAACAGGACGUCGUAGAGGGUGAGAAUCCCGUAUGCGGCCGGGUGCCUACGCUCAUGUGAAGCUCCUUCGACGAGUCGAGUUGUUUGGGAAUGCAGCUCAAAAUGGGUGGUAAAUUUCAUCUAAAGCUAAAUAUUGGCCAGAGACCGAUAGCGCACAAGUAGAGUGAUCGAAAGAUGAAAAGCACUUUGGAAAGAGAGUUAAACAGUACGUGAAAUUGUUGAAAGGGAAGCGCUUGCAACCAGACUUGCGCGCGGCCGAUCAUCCGGUGUUCUCACCGGUGCACUCGGUCGUGCUCAGGCCAGCAUCGGUUUCGGUGGUUGGAUAAAGGCCCUAGGAAUGUAGCUUCUCUCGGGGAGUGUUAUAGCCUGGGGUGCAAUGCAGCCUACCGGGACCGAGGACCGCGCUUCGGCUAGGAUGCUGGCGUAAUGGUUGUAAGCGACCCGUCUUGAAACACGG